This 73-nucleotide transfer RNA is filed under the name Stegodyphus mimosarum. It matches the Rfam family "tRNA". Rfam says of the family: Transfer RNA (tRNA) molecules are approximately 80 nucleotides in length. Their secondary structure includes four short double-helical elements and three loops (D, anti-codon, and T loops). The record is from Rfam by way of RNAcentral. Lineage: Eukaryota; Metazoa; Arthropoda; Arachnida; Araneae; Eresidae.
GCAUUCGUGUUGUAGUGGUAAACAACCUGGGCUCGUAUUCCAGAGAUCCGUGGUUCGAGUCCCGGAGAGGGCA